Molecule: transfer RNA, 73 nt
Filed under: Pseudonocardia sp.
Lineage: Bacteria; Bacillati; Actinomycetota; Actinomycetes; Pseudonocardiales; Pseudonocardiaceae
Description: tRNA-Val
Rfam family: tRNA
About the family: Transfer RNA (tRNA) molecules are approximately 80 nucleotides in length.
Source: RNAcentral
GCUCGCGUAGCUCAGUGGCGAGAGCGGCGCCUUCACACGGCGACGGUCCCAGGUUCGAGUCCUGGCGUGAGCA